AGCUGUUGGCGAGGUCGCUCUACAUCUGCCUAGUGGAGCUUUUAUUGCAUUAGAUGCAUGUUAUUUUGUUCCUUCUAUUAUCAAAAACAUUAUCUCCAUUUCAUGUUUAACAGUUAAUGGAUAUAAAUUUGUUUUUGAGAACAAUGGUUGUUCGAUAUUAUUAGAUGAUAAGAUCAUCACGAAAGGAACAUUGCAUAAUGGUUUAUUUAUGUUAGAC
RNAcentral lists this long non-coding RNA (217 nucleotides) under Musa acuminata (dwarf banana). Its description in RNAcentral is "long non-coding RNA (MACU_LNC006922)". Lineage: Eukaryota; Viridiplantae; Streptophyta; Magnoliopsida; Zingiberales; Musaceae. The record is from RNAcentral.